GGAAAGCUCGGGAAAACCAUUAUCUUCGGCCCUCCGAAGGCAAAGGUCGUACGUUCGAAUCGUAUCGGGUCCGCCA
RNAcentral lists this transfer RNA (76 nucleotides) under Roseomonas marmotae. RNAcentral describes it as "Roseomonas sp. 1318 tRNA-Ser". The record is from RNAcentral. Lineage: Bacteria; Pseudomonadati; Pseudomonadota; Alphaproteobacteria; Acetobacterales; Roseomonadaceae.